RNAcentral lists this long non-coding RNA (2009 nucleotides) under Nicotiana benthamiana. RNAcentral describes it as "long non-coding RNA (NBEN_LNC003058)". The record is from RNAcentral. Lineage: Eukaryota; Viridiplantae; Streptophyta; Magnoliopsida; Solanales; Solanaceae.
UCAUAAUUGCUUGUUUUCAUAUACAUGUAAAAAAAAUAGAAUUUCACAAGUCAUCAUCACUUACUCUUGUGUGCAUACUGAUACUUCUGAAUUGUAUAACAAACGAAUCAGUAAUGAGCUGUAUGAAGCAUACAUUUAACUUCAAUCUUUGGCGAAGGUGGAUCCAUACAGGCAUGGGUCAAUUAAAUCUUCUAGUGCCAUAACUCCCACAAACAUACAUUCACCAUAUCAAAAUUUACAGCUAUAACUAAUAUUCAACCCACAAACUAUAACAAAACCAGACUUAAUAUUACAGAUCCAAGCUCAAAAUAGACAAAAGCAAGCACAACCUAGAUUCAAGACUACUAUAGCAUCUAACAGCCAUAUCAAAGGAAAAUUACUACUCAACAAACAUGUUCAACUAACUACAGUCUAUGUUGAGAGUGCAUGAGUUGAAACUUCACAUAAUUAGAAUGAAUAGAAGAAAAUAACAACACAACAAAUGAAAAUCCACCAGUUGCACUAUGUUCAUUUAAUCCCAAAUCAUGCUUCAAUUACAUGCUUAAAUGAACUCCAUGAGGAUCGAAAUAUACUUGGAAAUAACAAAAAAAGAGCAGAGAGGUGAAGUAUCAGCAGAAAAGCAGCAAGAACCCAGCAACAAUACAGUCAAUGGAGCUACUAGACCAUAAUCAAACAGCUUCAAACCCAAACUUCUCAACGGAUGUGACUUCCAAUUGUCAAACCAGAUUCGAAUUGAAAAUUCAGCUCACAACAAAUUUUUAAAGGCAAAAGAAAACCAGACUAGGCCAUAUUUAACCCCAAAUGGUUAAAAUACUUUUUAAAAGAUUGAACAGUAACUACGGUAAUCAAAACAAAAUGCAGCCGCUCAGUUUUUUAUUUUUAGCUCUCUCUCUCUCUCUCUCUCUCUCUCUAUCUAUCUCUAGGUCUGCCUUGCAUAUCAAGUUAGAUAGCCCCUAAUUCCUGACUUUCUACCUAGGUUUUAAUACCUAUCCAUCUGAAGUUUUACUAAAGCCCCUCACUAGAAGUUUCCAAAUCAGUUAGAGAAAAGAUUCCCUACCUAAAAUACCUAGACUACCCUCCAAUACCAUGAAAUUAACCGUUGAUAUCCAAACAAUACUUUGGGCUCAAAACAAACAGGCUAGUUUGAGUUUAAGGUAUUAAUUAGAAAAUAAAAUGGUAAAAAACAAACAACGAGGGCCCAAGGAUCGGAUCUAAAAAACCAAGUAAUUUAAUCAUACAACUUUAAACUACCUAUUAGCAAUUAAGACCUGAACAACAAAGCAAAACCAAAAUAGUGAAAUAAUUACAAUCUUUCAAGGGAACUAACAUGAAUUAUCCUAAAAUUACUCCUUACUAACAUGAAUUAUCCUAAAAUUACUGCUAUGUGAAAUUAAUCUACUGGGCAAUCAAACAAACGAAAAUACAAAGAAAGAACAGAAAUAGGGGAACGAAUAAGAGAAAAUGAAGCCAAACAAGGAACAUAAAAAAGAACGGAAAGAGUACCUCAAACUCAAAUGAACACAGCCAACUAAACCCCGACCAACUCUGACUCGAUUCAAAACAGGUAUUAACCAUAUGUUCUCGACGAGAACAAAUGAUCAAUACCCAUUUUAAACCCAUCACCCGAAGGUUUGCCAGACUUGCCUCUUUUUUAAUUUCAGAUUCAAGAAAAUAUGAAUUCGGUGAGAAUUUAUUGAGGAACGGUGGUGGAUUAGGGCUAAGGGAAAAGUAGUGGUUGUAUGGGUGAAAUUUGGGGUUAUACGGAGUGGAGCUACCACCGGAGAGAACAAGGGUGGCGCUAAGUUUUCCCUUUAAAAUCAAUAUUAGAGGAUUUCUGGGUAUAUUUGAGGGGAAGUGUUUGAGUAUUCAAGAUGAGGAGACAAAGGAGGGUUGUGGAGUAAUUUUCAUGGCGAUUAAACGUUGGCCGCAAUCGUAGGCGAUUUCCGGCGGGCGACAGGAGAUGGCUUUAGUGUUCGUCUCUGAAGAGAUUGAGAGAGAUGAUGGGAGAG